This 253-nucleotide ribosomal RNA is filed under the name uncultured bacterium. RNAcentral describes it as "partial 16S ribosomal RNA". It matches the Rfam family "Bacterial small subunit ribosomal RNA", at positions 524 to 776 of the family's 1533-position model. The record is from RNAcentral.
UACGUAGGGUGCGAGCGUUGUCCGGAAUUACUGGGCGUAAAGAGCUCGUAGGUGGUUUGUUGCGUUGUUCGUGAAAACCGGGGGCUUAACCCUCGGCGUGCGGGCGAUACUGGCAGACUUGAGCACUGCAGGGGAGACUGGAAUUCCUGGUGUAGCGGUGGAAUGCGCAGAUAUCAGGAGGAACACCGGUGGCGAAGGCGGGUCUCUGGGCAGUAACUGACGCUGAGGAGCGAAAGCGUGGGGAGCGAACAGG